GAUGAACGCUGGCGGCGUGCCUAAUACAUGCAAGUCGAGCGAACAGACGAGGAGCUUGCUCCUCUGACGUUAGCGGCGGACGGGUGAGUAACACGUGGAUAACCUACCUAUAAGACUGGGAUAACUUCGGGAAACCGGAGCUAAUACCGGAUAAUAUAUUGAACCGCAUGGUUCAAUAGUGAAAGACGGUUUUGCUGUCACUUAUAGAUGGAUCCGCGCCGCAUUAGCUAGUUGGUAAGGUAACGGCUUACCAAGGCAACGAUGCGUAGCCGACCUGAGAGGGUGAUCGGCCACACUGGAACUGAGACACGGUCCAGACCCCUACGGGAGGCAGCAGUAGGGAAUCUUCCGCAAUGGGCGAAAGCCUGACGGAGCAACUCCGCGUGAGUGAUGAAGGUCUUCGGAUCGUAAAACUCUGUUAUUAGGGAAGAACAAAUGUGUAAGUAACUAUGCACGUCUUGACGGUACCUAAUCAGAAAGCCACGGCUAACUACGUG
RNAcentral lists this ribosomal RNA (497 nucleotides) under uncultured bacterium. RNAcentral's name for it is "partial 16S ribosomal RNA". It matches the Rfam family "Bacterial small subunit ribosomal RNA", at positions 28 to 507 of the family's 1533-position model. The record is from RNAcentral.